AUAACUACCUCGAGCCUUCCCCCCCCAAACUUUCAAAUUUUUUAUAUAUAUAUAUAAAAUAGUACCCUGAAAUGCCAGCUUAAUAGGGUCGAGCCCCCCCUUAAAUUUCAUUCUGGCUACGCCGAUGGUCAGGGCCUUUUCAUCCGAAUGGUCUUAAUGUUAAAGAAGCCCCCAACUGGAGUGGAUAGGAGUGGAAAACAGGCAGUAACAAAGCCAUUUAAGAAGAAGAACAAAUUUUUAUCAAGUACCAAUGGCAAUAUCAAGAAACAGUUUAAAGUUCAAUUUCUACUAAUAAAUCAACUGCGGCGAUGAAACACGCCCGGUUACUAAACAUACUGAUGCGUUAUCAAAUUGUGAGUGAUUGUAUAAUGUGGAAUAUGUUCGUACUCUCCACACAUGUGCGAAAGCAGAAAGGUACACUUAUAAAAAAGAUCCAAACGCAUCUUAAGUUAGUGCUGGUGUCAAUCUAUUUAGCAUUUAUUUAGUGUUCAAACAUCGAUUUGAGACGUACGUUACAAAUGCUGAUAUCGACUUUUCAGAGCCGAUCAGUUCUGAUGUGAGAGCGUAAAAUAUUAGCAUACUAUUGAGCUACACAACGCACACAUCCGUAUGUAUUUACCGUAAGAAGCAGUCUACUAUCAACUUUAAUUUGGGAUGAUAAGCCGACACAAACACAUACAUACAUAUGCCUGAACGUAAGUAUACAUGCAUAUGCACAUGGAUAAGGAACGUAGAUCAGACCUAUGUGAAUUCACUUCGGGAGGUAUCGACUAGACAUUGCAGAGCCCUACGAUUUGACCCCUGUCAAGGGAAAAAUAACGAAUACACGCUAGUACAUAGUAUGUACAUUCAUAUAUACGUGUUCACACGAGCAUACAUACAUAUAUGUAUGUAUGUACAUACAUUAGGGUGUCCCAGAAUUUUUUUUGCGAAAUUCGAUACGCAUACCCUCCAAUUUUUUUCUUUUGACGUUUUCUUGCUGUAGGAUCACGAUAACCCGUGCCGAAUUUGAAGUUGAGGUUUUGGUUCAGAACUUAACUACAUACAUUAGUAAAGCACAAGCGUCACAGACGAAGUUGAUAA
Long non-coding RNA from Rhagoletis zephyria (snowberry fruit fly), 1083 nucleotides. RefSeq lists it as uncharacterized. The record is from RefSeq and is a predicted model, not a curated record. Lineage: Eukaryota; Metazoa; Arthropoda; Insecta; Diptera; Tephritidae.